This 253-nucleotide ribosomal RNA is filed under the name uncultured Chondromyces sp. Its description in RNAcentral is "partial 16S ribosomal RNA". It matches the Rfam family "Bacterial small subunit ribosomal RNA", at positions 524 to 776 of the family's 1533-position model. The record is from RNAcentral. Lineage: Bacteria; Pseudomonadati; Myxococcota; Polyangiales; Polyangiaceae.
GACAGAGGGUGCAAACGUUGUUCGGAAUUACUGGGCGUAAAGCGCGUGUAGGCUGCUAUGCAAGUCGGGUGUGAAAGCCCACGGCUCAACCGUGGAAGUGCACUCGAAACUGCAUAGCUGGAGUCCUGGAGAGGAAGGCGGAAUACUCGGUGUAGAGGUGAAAUUCGUAGAUAUCGAGUGGAACACCGGUGGCGAAGGCGGCCUUCUGGACAGUGACUGACGCUGGAACGCGAAAGCGUGGGGAGCAAACAGG